GAACGCUGGCGGCGCGUCUAAAGCAUGCAAGUCGAACGGGUAUAUGGGAGCAAUCCUGUGUAUCAGUGGCGGACGGGUGAGUAAUGCGUAGAUGAUCUGUCUUUGGGUGGGGGAUAGUCCUGCGAAAGUGGGAGUAAUACCGCAUAAGGUGUGAUGGUUAGAGACAUUACAUGAAAGUAUUUAUACGCCUGGAGGUGAGUCUGCGUUCCAUUAGCUAGUUGGCAGGGUAAGAGCCUACCAAGGCAAAGAUGGAUAACCGGUCUGAGAGGAUGACCGGUCACAUUGGGACUGAGAUACGGCCCAGACUCCUACGGGGGGCAGCAGCUAAGAAUCUUCCGCAAUGGGCGAAAGCCUGACGGAGCGACGCCGCGUGGACGAAGAAGGCGCUCUGCGUUGUAAAGUUCUUUUCACUUAGAAAAAGAUAUAUCGAAGGAUGUAUUGAUGGUAUAGGUGGAAUAAGCCCCGGCUAAUUACGUGCCAGCAGCCGCGGUAAGACGUAAGGGGCGAGCGUUGUUCGGAGUUAUUGGGCAUAAAGGGCGAGUAGGCGGUCUAUUAAGUUACAGGUGGAAAGCAAGAGCUUAACUUUUGUCGUGCCUGUAAAACUGGUGGACUAGAGUACGAGAGAGGAUGCUGGAAUUCCUGGUGUAGGGGUGGAAUCUAUAGAUAUCAGGAGGAACACCGAUGGCGAAGGCAAGCAUCUGGCUCGAUACUGACGCUGAGGAGCGAAAGCGUGGGGAGCAAACAGGAUUAGAUACCCUGGUAGUCCACGCCAUAAACGUUGUAUACUAGGUGUAUGAGGUAUCGAUCCCUUGUGUGCCGAAGCGAAUGUGAUAAGUAUACCUCCUGGGGAGUAUGCCGGCAACGGUGAAACUCAAAGGAAUUGACGGGGGCCCGCACAAGCGGUGGAGCAUGUGGUUUAAUUCGAUGAUACGCGAAGAACCUUACCUGGGUUUGACAUGCAGGCUACGGGAUAAGAGAUUAUCCUUCCCGCAAGGGGGCUUGCACAGGUGCUGCAUGGCUGUCGUCAGCUCGUGUCGUGAGAUGUUGGGUUAAGUCCCGCAACGAGCGCAACCCUCAUAUCUAGUUGCCAACGGGUAAUGCUGGGCACUCUAGAUAAACUGCCGGACGUAAGCCGGAGGAAGGUGGGGAUGACGUCAAGUCCUCGUGGCCUUUAUAUCCAGGGCUACACACGUGCUACAAUGGUAAGUACAAAGAGGAGCGAAGCCGCGAGGUGGAGCAAAUCUCAGAAAGCUUAUCGUAGUUCGGAUUGGAGUCUGAAACCCGACUCCAUGAAGUUGGAAUCGCUAGUAAUCGCAGAUCAGCACGCUGCGGUGAAUACGUUCCCGGGCCUUGUACACACCGCCCGUCACACCACCCGAGUUGGAUGUACCCGAAGUCAUUGAGCUAACUGCAAAGAAGCAGGUGCCUAAGGUA
This 1434-nucleotide ribosomal RNA is filed under the name metagenome. RNAcentral's name for it is "bacterial SSU rRNA". It matches the Rfam family "Bacterial small subunit ribosomal RNA". The record is from RNAcentral.